RNAcentral lists this ribosomal RNA (460 nucleotides) under uncultured bacterium. RNAcentral describes it as "partial 16S ribosomal RNA". It matches the Rfam family "Bacterial small subunit ribosomal RNA", at positions 338 to 795 of the family's 1533-position model. The record is from RNAcentral.
CCUACGGGAGGCAGCAGUGAGGAAUAUUGGUCAAUGGGCGUAAGCCUGAACCAGCCAAGUCGCGUGAGGGAUGAAGGUUCUAUGGAUCGUAAACCUCUUUUAUAAGGGAAUAAAGUGUGGGACGUGUACCCUUUUGUAUGGUCCUUAUGAAUAAGGAUUGGCUAACUCCGUGCCAGCAGCCGCGGUUAUACGGAGGAACCGUGCGUUUUCCGGAUUUAUUGGGUUUAAAGGGUGCGUAGGGGGCCUUUUAAGUCCAGGGGGAAAGUCUGUGGCCCAAACAUAGAAUCGCCGUUGAAACUGGGAGGCUGGAGUAUGUGUGAGGCAGGCGGAAUGCGUGGUGUAGCGGUGAAAUGCAUAGAUAUCACGCAGAACCCCGAUUGCGAAGGCAGCCUGCCAGGCCAUGACUGACGCUGAUGCACGAAAGCGUGGGUAUCAAACAGGAUUAGAUACCCGAGUAGUC